Molecule: ribosomal RNA, 420 nt
Filed under: uncultured bacterium
Lineage: Bacteria
Description: bacterial SSU rRNA
Rfam family: Bacterial small subunit ribosomal RNA
Source: RNAcentral
GAGGAAUAUUGGUCAAUGGUCGAGAGACUGAACCAGCCAAGUCGCGUGAAGGAUGACGGUUCUAUGAAUUGUAAACUUCUUUUAUUCGGGAAUAAAGUGUAGUACGUGUACUGUUUUGUAUGUACCGAAUGAAUAAGCAUCGGCUAACUCCGUGCCAGCAGCCGCGGUAAUACGGAGGAUGCAAGCGUUAUCCGGAUUUAUUGGGUUUAAAGGGUGCGUAGGCGGACUUGUAAGUCAGUGGUGAAAGUUUGCAGCUUAACUGUAAAAUUGCCGUUGAAACUGCGGGUCUUGAGUGCAAAUGAGGUAGGCGGAAUGUGUUGUGUAGCGGUGAAAUGCAUAGAUAUAACACAGAACUCCGAUUGCGAAGGCAGCUUACUGGGAUGCAACUGACGCUGAUGCACGAAAGCGUGGGUAUCAAAC